RNAcentral lists this transfer RNA (74 nucleotides) under Bipolaris sorokiniana ND90Pr. RNAcentral describes it as "tRNA-Val (CAC) (tRNA-Val-CAC-1-1)". It matches the Rfam family "tRNA". Rfam says of the family: Transfer RNA (tRNA) molecules are approximately 80 nucleotides in length. The record is from RNAcentral. Lineage: Eukaryota; Fungi; Ascomycota; Dothideomycetes; Pleosporales; Pleosporaceae.
GGCCUGGUGGUGUAGUUGGUUAUCACGUUCGCCUCACACGCGAAAGGUCCCGAGUUCAAACCUCGGCUAGGUCA